This 262-nucleotide unclassified non-coding RNA is filed under the name Hevea brasiliensis (rubber tree). Lineage: Eukaryota; Viridiplantae; Streptophyta; Magnoliopsida; Malpighiales; Euphorbiaceae. The record is from RNAcentral.
UCACCUUUUUGUAAGAAGUAGCUUUGGAGAACAGAGAUAUUUAAUGAUGGUCUUAGCUUAGAAAACAAUAAGGGAGAGAUUUAUAGAAAGGAGAAAUUUGGGCGAAAAUUUUGAGUGAAUAGGAAAGAAACCGCAGCUGUAGAAGAGAAAAGCACAGAGAUAAUGAAAAGAGAAGAAAAAAAAAUUGUUUCCAUGUGAUUUAUAGUAGAUGCAUAAUGUUAGAAUCCCUUAAUUAGUAUAAAUUAGCUGUAAAUUAGAAUAU